This 253-nucleotide ribosomal RNA is filed under the name uncultured bacterium. Its description in RNAcentral is "partial 16S ribosomal RNA". It matches the Rfam family "Bacterial small subunit ribosomal RNA", at positions 524 to 776 of the family's 1533-position model. The record is from RNAcentral.
UACGUAGGGUGCGAGCGUUAAUCGGAAUUACUGGGCGUAAAGCGUGCGCAGGCGGUUCGUUGUGUCGGUGGUGAAAGCCCCGGGCUUAACCUGGGAAUGGCCAUGGAAACUGCCCGACUAGAGGUAGGUAGGGGAGAUCGGAAUUCCUGGUGUAGCGGUGAAAUGCGCAGAUAUCAGGAGGAACACCGGUGGCGAAGGCGGAUCUCUGGGCCUUACCUGACGCUGAGGCGCGAAAGCCAGGGGAGCAAACGGG